AUUUCUUUGAGGAAGGGAAUGUGGGUUGAUGACUCGGGCUCUGACAAAAUCCCAAGAUUUUUCUUUUGGAGAAGGGUCAGCCUCAUUCCCUAAACCUGUUGGAUUUCUCCAUUUUGGAACCUAUACGAGGCAUCCUUCAAAAUACUCUUCUCCCAGUUGGAAAAGCAGCAGGGAGUCAAGGUGUGGAGUUAAGACCGGCAGCAAGUUGCCACUCCCCUUGCCCUGCCUCAGUUACUGCAAAAGCAUACAUCUGGGGAUAAACCCUUGUGUGGUAGAGUCAAUCCUCCUAGUGAAGAUUAUGAAGGGAACAAAGAGAGGGCCCUUCCACGCUUCAGAGAAAGGUGUUCUCACAAACACUAAUUCAGGA
Bubalus bubalis (water buffalo) is the source of this 367-nucleotide long non-coding RNA. RefSeq lists it as uncharacterized. Lineage: Eukaryota; Metazoa; Chordata; Mammalia; Artiodactyla; Bovidae. The transcript is spliced from 2 exons. The record is from RefSeq and is a predicted model, not a curated record.